Molecule: long non-coding RNA, 6908 nt
Filed under: Homo sapiens (human)
Lineage: Eukaryota; Metazoa; Chordata; Mammalia; Primates; Hominidae
Description: HSALNT0199008
Rfam family: mir-1302 microRNA precursor family (bases 2954-3005)
Source: RNAcentral
AGAGCAAAUGUUUAUGUCCAGAGCAAAAUUCUGUUGUCAGAAAUGGGGCUUUGUAUGAUGAUGGAUGUGUUCACUUAUCCAUUCACUCCACAAAUAUUAAUUUUCUGGUAUAUUUAUAUAAUGGAGUACUAUACAACAGCAAAAAAUAAAUUAAGUACAGGCUGGGCACAGUGGCUGAUGCCUGUAAUCUCAGCACUUUAGGAGGCCAAGGCAGGAGGAUUGUUUGAGCUUAGAAGUUUGAAACCAGCCUGGGCAACAUAGCAAGACCACAUCUCUACUAAAAAUUAAAAAAAAAAAAAAAUGCCAAGCAUGGUGGUGUGUGCCGAUAGUCCCAGCUACUUAGCCUGGGGUGGGAGGAUUGCUUGAGUCCAGGAGUUUGAGGCUGCAGUAAGCUAUGACUGCAUCACUGAAUGCCAGCCUGUGCAACAGAGUGAGACACUGUCUAAAAAAAGUAAAUAUAUAAAAAUAAAUAAACUACAGUUGCUUGUAUCAACAUGGAUGUAUCUCAAAGUCAUAAUGUUGAAUGAAAAAAGUAAGUCACAAAAAUAUAGAGCAAUGUAUGAUUCUAGGAGUAUACAGUAGAAAAAAAAAGCAAAAUUAAACAACAUGUUGUGUAGAAAUGCAUACAAUUGUGAAAUACUCUUCAAAAAACGCAAAAAAUGAUUGAUAUAAAGUUCAGUAUGCAGGUACCUCUUGGAGGAGGACAGGGCUGUGCUCAGGGGAGAACACACAUGGGCUUCUAAGAUGCUGGUAAAGGUCUGUUUCUUAAGCUGGUUGGUGAAUACACAUGUGCUUAUUUUAUUACCCUUAAAUCUACAUAUAUACACUUCAUGCAGUCUUUUGAAUGUAGGACAUGGCCAUGGUAAUAAAAAGAAAAACAAAGAAUAGAUGAGCAUUUAAAUUGAGAGGGCACACCAAGUCUUAAGCCAAAGAGUUAUAAGUAAAUCCACACAGACGCAGCGGAGUACAAUAGCAGAACAUCAAAAGCAUAGAGAAAAUCUUCCACACCGCUAGAAAGAUAGUAAUCUAAAAACCAAUAAUACUGGGCCGGGUGCGGUGGCUCACGCCUAUAAUCCCAGCACUUUGGGAGCCCAAGGCAGGUGGAUCACCUGAGGUCAGGAGUUCGAGACCAGCUUGACCAACAUGGUGAAACCCCGAUUCUGCUAAAAAUACAAAAUCAGCUGGGUGUGGUGGUGCAUGCCUGUAAUCCCAGCUACCCUGGAGGCUGAGGCAGGAGAAUCGCUUGAACCCAGGAGGUGGCGGUUGCAGUGAGCCGAGAUCACAGCAUUGCACUCCAGCUUGGGCAACAAGAGCGAAACUCCAUCUCAAAACAAAACAAACGAACAAACAAAAACCAAUAAUACUUCAACUUACAGCAGACUUACCUGCAAUAAUAGAUGCCUUCAGUGACCUAAAUGGUAUCUUCAAACUGCUGAGAGAAAAUAACCACAAACCAGAAUUCCUUACCUGUGAAUUCUACCCAAGGUAUAAGGUGUAAUAAAAACAUCUUUAGACGUAGACACCAAGAGAGGUCACCCCUCACAAAACCUCACUGGAAGAACUACUGAUGGAAGUUUCUUUUUUUUUUUUUUUUUUGAGGCAGAGUCUCACUCUGUCGCCCAGGCUGGAGUGCAGUGGCAUGAUCUCAGCUCACUACAAUCUCUGCCUCCCAAGCUCAAGCCAUCCUCCCACCUUAGCCUCCUGAGUAGCUGGGACUACAGGUGUGUGCUACCACACUCAACUAAUUCCUGUAUUUUUUUUUUAGAGGUGGGGUUUCACCAUGUUGCCCAGGCUGGUCUCAAACUCCUGGGCUCAAGUGAUCUGCCUGCCUUGGCCUUCCAAAAUGCUGGGAUCACAGGCAGUUAGUGAACUGUUGAAACAGUGGUACAAGAAAUUGAUCAUGAAGAGUCUUGAAAGCCGUAGAAGGAUAUUGCGUUUUAUUUUCAGUGCAAUGAGAGUUCUUAGCAAGCAAGUCAAAGACAUGAUCUGUCUUUCUUUAUUUUUAUUUUUAUUUUUGAGAUAAGGUUUGGCUCUGCCACCCAGGCUGGAGUGCAGUGGUGCUAUCACAGCUCAUUGCAGCUUUGUUCUCCCAGGCUCAAGCAACCUUCCCACCUUAGUCUCCCAAGUAGCUGGGACUAUAGGUGUGUGCCGCCACCACACCCAGCUAGGUUUUUAAAAAUUUUUUUGUAGAGAUGAGGUCUUGCUAUGUUGCCCAGGCUGGUCUUGAACUCCUGAGCUCAAGCGACCCUCCUGCGUCAGCCUCUCAAAGUGCUAGGAUUGCAGGCAUGAGCCACCAGAUCUGUCUUUAAAAAGACCAUUCUGGCUUCUGUGUGCAGAAUGCAUUAUAGAGAGUUAUUGGGAAGCAAGAAGGAAGUAGAAAAGCUACUUGGUGGUCAGUACAGUUACUCUAGUGAGAGAAGAGUAUGGCUUGUCCUAGGGAAGUUGUAGUAGACAUACAGAGACAUGACCCAGUUGGAAAUAUGACCUGGUAGUUGAGUCAAUAGGAUUUGUUGAUUUACUGGAUACAGAGUCCACAAAAGGGAAGAAUCAAGACUGAGUCUUACCUUAGGGGCUUAAGCAACUAGGUAGAUAUUAGUGUGCUUCACUGAGGUGGGAGUGACUGAGGAGCUGCAGAUUAGGUGGGCAGUGGGAGGUGGUUUGCAAAUCAACAACUCUGUUUAGGUUUGAGAUGACUGUGAACUAUAAAAGAAUUAUCAAGUAGGUAGUUAGAUGUUCCGUGUGGAGGUUAGUGCAGAUUUCCAGGUUGGAGAUACAAAUUUGAGAGUUAUCAAGAUAUAGAUUGGAUGAUCUCACCCAAGAUAUAGACUGGAUAAGCUCACCCAAGGAUUGAGUGUAGAUAAAAAAGUCUAGAGUGGAAGUUAGAGUUGCUUGCGUUACCACAUAAAAAUAGAAGACACUCGGUUGAAUUUGAACUUCAGAUAAACAAUAAAUUUUUUUAGAAUGAGUAUGUUCCAUGCAAUAUUUGGGACAUGCUUAUACUAAAAAAUUUUUGUUGUUUAUGUGAAAGUCAGGUUUAGUUGGGCAUCCUGUAAUUUAUUUGGUAACCCUAACUGAGACACUCCUAUAUUUAGAUGACAAGUAGGGAAGGAUGAGAAGCAAAGGAAAUGCUGAGUGUGGCUGUGUACCAAAUUUCCCCAGAAUGUGGUGCCAUAAAACAGUCUUUAAUUAUGCCUGCAGAUUCUGUAGUUCAGGAAUUUAGAUAGGGAUUCGUGGUCCUGACUUGCUCUGCUCCAUGAUGUCUGGGGCCUCAGCUAGAAGACUCAAGGGCUGGGAGUUGAAAUCAUCUAAAGGUUCAUUGACUCAUUGAACUCACUGACCCAUUGACAUGUCUGGCGGUUGAUGCUGGCUAUUCGCUGACUCUUUAGCCAGGGUCAUCUGCUGGAACCUCUUCAUGUGGCCUCUCUAUGUGGCCUGGGCUUCCUCCCAACAUGGUGGCUGGAUUCUAAGAGCUGGUAAGCAGAGGGAAAAGGGGAAGAGAAAGGAGGAGGAAGAGAAGGAAGAAGAGAAAGAAAAGGGAGAGAAGAGUGAACCAGGUGGAAACUAUAUCUUUUUUAUGACUAGCCUCCAAAACCCAUAGCAUUAUUUCUGCCAGGCUCUAUUGGUCAGAGCAGCCACAAGCCCAACCAGGUUCAAGGGGAGAGGAAAUCAUUACAUCCUUGAUAGGAAGCAGUAAACUUCCGUAAGAGCAUAUGAGACCAUACAUAUGACCAUACAUAUGGCUGUGGUCAUUUUUGGACAAUACAAGCUGCCUCAGGAGAGGUUAGUGAAGUAGGAGAAAAAUCAGGAGAAAGAAAGCUAGGAGAAGACCUUGUUUCAAGGAGGAGGGAAUGAUGAGCCAAGUGGAAGGAUGCUGGUGUGGAAGUGCACCCAGGGUGCUCAGUGCGGAGUGCAGGGCUGAGAGCAGGAGGCUGGGAGAGGGCGGCUGUGGAUGGGGUGCAUAUGUGUGCUAGACUUGACAAGAGAAAGAGAAGUCUCGUGAUGGAGGAAUUCAGUGGUAAGAGUGAAGAGCAUGUAAGGCAGUGGGUCGGGAGAGCCAAGCCUGGCAUGGUAAAUGGGUAAACCUUGCAUGGGCAGGUGACCGGGAAGGAGAAGGAGUGAGGAAGAAGAGAAAAUGCGAGUGCAGAUCUUAUUGAGGAGCUAGUUUAAUCUCUUUUAAAUACAUUUUGUGGAGACUUAAGAUAAUUUUUGUGAUUUGCAAGAAUGAAUAAAAUUAACAUUUUACGGCACUGAGAAAAAGGUGCUCUGCAUGUUCCAUAAAUUUUCCAUUUAAAAAAAAAAAGUUCCCAAGCCUAUCAAGUAAUGCUACGCAGCAUGUUUUCCUUUCCACAGUCCUUGAGAAGUAAUUUUCAGUGCUUCUGUGUUGAUCAUUUUUUGCUGAGUGAGUAACUGACCCACACAUGCAGCUGCAGCCUUUGUAUUCAAGGUUUCUUCUGAGGAAUACAGUCUAAAGAAGGGAGCCAAGAUCUGUGAACCCUGCCUGAUGUGCGGAGUGGGGACCAGGUGCCAGCGCCCCAUGGCUGGGCUGUGGGAUGGGGAUGUGGUCCCUCAGGUCACCAUGGCAACCAGCCUGCAAACCCCAAUGCACUCGUGGUGAUCAGCAUGCUUCAGGGAAGCUGAACUGUGCCAGCCUAGAGUCUAACAAACUGUUUCCCUUCUAGGAUACCCUCUAUGCCUGAUAAAAUGCAGCACCUACUAUUUCUAACCCACAUGUGGGUUUUCAGGGUAAGUAGAAACGCUACCAGGAAAUGUCUUGAUGGGCUCUCUCUCCUCCCUGAGCGCCAGCCUAUUGGAAAAUAUUUCUAAUCUAUCAAACAUGGUUUUGAAGUAAAAAAAAAAAGAGAAUCUGCUAGUUAAUUUUUUUUUUUCAGUGACUUCACCCGAUGAGAAAGUGGAAAACAGGUUGCACUGUGUACAUGCAGACCAGGUCACAGAAGAUAAAGGGCCUUAUCUGACAUGACAGACAAUUCAGGAGACUUUAUCGCUCCAGUCUCCUGAUGCCACCUCACUUGAUCCAUUGCAACAAGGAAAUUUUAAUGGAGAACCUCCCCUGGGUCUUGAUUUAUGCUCUGAACCACAGGAGGGCUAGGAAGAAAGCAAUUAUUCACUUGUCAAACCUUUAUAGGCUAGGCCCUGUGCAGGGGACUGGGGAUACAGAGGUGCUUAGCCAUGGCCUCUGGCCUUGAGCACUUACUGUGUGGAGGAUGCAGGCAGAAGCAGGCAGGGGAGCCAGGAGUCAGGGCUCGGUGGGGUAUACCAACCAAACUCUGUCCUGGCUUUGGAGGAAAAAGAGGAAAAAUGGAAGCAAUUUAAAUAAACUAGUAGGUGAUUGUAUUAGUCCAUUUUUGUACUGCUAUGAAGAAAUACCCAAUACGGGGUAAUUUAUAAAGAAAAAGAGGUUUAAUGGACUCACAGUUCCACAUGGCUGGGGAGGCCUCACAAUCAUCGCAGAAGGCAAAGGAGGAGCAAAGUCAUGUCUUACGUAGCAGCAGGCAAGAGAGCGUGUGCAGGGGAGCUGCCCUUUAUAAAACCGUCAGGUCUCAUGAGACUUAUUCACUGUCAUGAGAACAGCAUGGGGAAAACCUGCCUCCAUGAUUCAGUUACUUUCCACUGGGUCCUCCCAUGACACGUGGGGAUUAUGAGAGCUACAAUUCAAGAUGAGAUUUGGAUGGGGACAAAGCCAAACCAUAUCAAUGAUUAAGACCCAGACAGGGUGAGACAGAUGACAAGAACAAGUGGAGUCUGGGAAUGGAAGGAUCCCCAUGGGUUGAAUUAAUUUGGGAUGACUCUGUGCCAGAGAAGCAAUUUGAGCUGGACCUUCUGACAGAGAAGAAUUUGAAUGGGGAUCACCUCCCUUAGCAAAAGUAACAUCACAGCCAUCACCAUGUUAAACAGAACCCUCACCUUCCUUCCAUAUUUAGAAUCCUAGUAAUAACAGCAGUUUCUUUGAUGUUUCAAGAACUUAUACCUUCACAUACAUAUUACCUAUGUUUUCAUUCAGCUUUGUCAAAUAAGUGCUAAAACCUUCUUAGUAUAUGUUUUUCUGUCUUCCCCAUUCUAAUGAAGAAAUUCCAGGAGUAAAUUUGUCUUUUCUUUUAGUCUUAUUGAGAUAUUUACUCAAGGAGCAACAUAACCAUUUACUCAUAUUUUUCUCAACACCAUCGUGGCCCAGUAGGAGUGAAGGAUCUUGGGAGGAGCCCCAAGUCCUCCAGGUCACAGAGUACUAUGGAAAAGGCUCCCUUGGGCUCUGCUAGAGUGCCUUCGCCUGCAAAAGUGAUGCUAGAGUUCCUGAAGACUAACUCCAAACCAUAGGGGCCAUCAUCACAAGAAUGGCAUUCCCAAGUUUCCACAUUUUCUUUUUUCUGGGACAGAGUCUCUGCCACCUGGGCUGGAGUGCAAUGGCACGAUCUCGGCUCACUGCAACCUCUGCCUCCCGGGUUCAAGUGAUUCUCCUGCCUCAGCCUUCCGAUUAGCUUGGAUUACAGGCAUGCACCACCACGCCCAGCUAAUUUUUAUAUUUUUAGUAGAGACGGGGUUUCACCAUGUUGAGCAGGCUGGUCUCAAACCUCUGACCUCAAGUGACCCGCCCACCUUGGCCUCCCAAAGUGCUGGGAUUACAGGCAUGAGCCACUGCACCUGGCCCCACAUUUUCAUUAUUAAACAUUUCAAAAGUGCAAGAGAAUAAAAAGACAAACCACAAACUUGGAAUAAACAUACAAAACAAAACAUACAUCUGAUAAAAGGACUGGUAUUCAAAACAUACAGAGACUCUUAAAACUCAACAGUAAGAAAACAAAAAACUUGAUUAAAAACGAGCCAAAGACCUCACCAGAAACCUCACCAAAGGAUAUAUACGGCUGGCAAAUAAGCAUAUGAAAAGAUGCUCCACA